This 501-nucleotide ribosomal RNA is filed under the name uncultured bacterium. RNAcentral describes it as "partial 16S ribosomal RNA". It matches the Rfam family "Bacterial small subunit ribosomal RNA", at positions 29 to 523 of the family's 1533-position model. The record is from RNAcentral.
AUUGAACGCUGGCGGCAUGCCUUACACAUGCAAGUCGAACGGCAGCACGGGUGCUUGCACCUGGUGGCGAGUGGCGAACGGGUGAGUAAUACAUCGGAACGUACCUUAUCGUGGGGGAUAACGCAGCGAAAGCUGUGCUAAUACCGCAUACGCCCUGAGGGGGAAAGCGGGGGAUCGCAAGACCUCGCGCGAUUAGAGCGGCCGAUGCCUGAUUAGCUUGUUGGUGGGGUAAAAGCCCACCAAGGCGACGAUCAGUAGCCGGUCUGAGAGGACGAUCAGCCACACUGGGACUGAGACACGGCCCAGACUCCUACGGGAGGCAGCAGUGGGGAAUUUUGGACAAUGGGGGCAACCCUGAUCCAGCAAUGCCGCGCGAGUGAAGAAGGCCUUCGGGUUGUAAAGCUCUUUUGUCAGGGAAGAAACACCGGCUCUAACACAGUCCGGGAAUGACGGUACCUGAAGAAUAAGCACCGGCUAACUACGUGCCAGCCGCCGCGGUAA